GACGAACGCUGGCGGCGUGCUUAACACAUGCAAGUCGAACGGAAAGGCCCUGCUUUUGUGGGGUGCUCGAGUGGCGAACGGGUGAGUAACACGUGAGUAACCUGCCCUUGACUUUGGGAUAACUUCAGGAAACUGGGGCUAAUACCGGAUAGGAGCUCCUGCUGCAUGGUGGGGGUUGGAAAGUUUCGGCGGUUGGGGAUGGACUCGCGGCUUAUCAGCUUGUUGGUGGGGUAGUGGCUUACCAAGGCUUUGACGGGUAGCCGGCCUGAGAGGGUGACCGGCGACAAGGAGACUGAGAUAGGGCCCAGAAUCCUACGGGAGGCAACAGUGGGGAAUAUUGCACAAUGAGCGGAAGCCUGAUGCAGCAACGCCGCGUGCGGGAUGACGGCCUUCGGGUUGUAAACCACUUUCGCCUGUGACGAAGCGUGAGUGACGGUAAUGGGUAAAGAAGCACCGGCUAGCUACGUG
This 468-nucleotide ribosomal RNA is filed under the name uncultured bacterium. RNAcentral's name for it is "partial 16S ribosomal RNA". It matches the Rfam family "Bacterial small subunit ribosomal RNA", at positions 28 to 507 of the family's 1533-position model. The record is from RNAcentral.